UACGUAGGGUGCGAGCGUUGUCCGGAAUUAUUGGGCGUAAAGAGCUUGUAGGCGGUUUGUCGCGUCUGCUGUGAAAAUCCUGGGCUCAACCCCGGACUUGCAGUGGGUACGGGCAGACUAGAGUGUGGUAGGGGAGACUGGAAUUCCUGGUGUAGCGGUGAAAUGCGCAGAUAUCAGGAGGAACACCGAUGGCGAAGGCAGGUCUCUGGGCCACUACUGACGCUGAGAAGCGAAAGCAUGGGGAGCGAACAGGAUUAGA
RNAcentral lists this ribosomal RNA (259 nucleotides) under uncultured prokaryote. RNAcentral's name for it is "partial 16S ribosomal RNA". It matches the Rfam family "Bacterial small subunit ribosomal RNA", at positions 524 to 782 of the family's 1533-position model. The record is from RNAcentral.